AUGUUGAGCGUUUGCAGAGCGGUCUGCUCCUGGGUUCUGAUAUUGAUUCUGGAACUGAGAAAGCUGGAGUCGUUCAGAUGCUUGGGAGUGCAAAGGUUCACUAUGGCUCUGCACUCCAGGUUCAUGUUGAACAUUCGUAACAACGUCAGAAGCCACCUGAGGUUUCCCGGAACCAUCUUUGCUUAUUAACUUAUGUUGCUGCAGGGCCUGCUGCUUCAAUGUUUUUUGCUGGAUAAAUUUCUGCUGCUGCUGCUGCUGUUGUUGAAUCUGAUUAGGCUGUUGCGGAAAUUGUUGUUGUUGAUGUGAAUGCAGAGAAGAGUUAGCUCUGGACACAGACUGGAAACUUGCUGCAUUGAUAUUCUGAGCACUUGGCAUCUUCCCUACCGAUGUUACAGCUCCAUGCAAAUUUUUAGAUCCAAGGUUGUUGUCAGGAUUUGUUGUUCUAUAACCUUCCCCUGAAAUAUGAAGAAACAUACUUUAAAAUAUUCUGAUAGGUUAGUACUAGUGCCAAAGCACAAGAAAGGACCAUACAUAUAAAAUGAGAUGAUUAGGACAGACGAAAAAGCGAGAGCCUGAAGAGUUUACCUGCGUCUACACUUUUUUUGCUCACACCAACACCACCAUUUACAGAGUUACUAGCCACACCAGCCAGCUUUGGUUGCAUGUUGUCCGGUCUAUGACCAGCAGUCAUUUGGUUAGACACCGUUUGACUAUUUUGACCACCAGUAUCCUGCCUUUGCUUCUGCUGCUGAGACUGAGGUACCACCGUGGGCUCAGCAGAAAAUCCACCACUGUUGUUAUUAGUACCACUAUUAACGAAACCAGGUGUAGGAAUCAUCUGGGGAGCACUUCUUUGAGAACCCAUGUUCCCUCUUGAACCAAGAGAAAAGUUUCUCGGUGAAUUCUGGUAACCAUUAGACAUAUUACCUGAAAUGAAAUUGCUAAGGUGUCAGAGACUCGGCGUGAGAUUAAAAUUUCCAGGAAAAGUAUCUAUGAUCAAACCUCCAUGGAUGCCACCAGAAGCUAGAAGGUUUCCAGUGUUGACAGCUUUGCUUGUACUGCUGUUGUUUCCAGCUAUAGUAGUAUCAGCAGAGGGUGUAACCAUCGAAGUAGAAUUAUCCCCAGUAUGUGGUAAUCUUGGAGUAGGUAUCAUCGUAGUACCCCCACCAGCAUGUGAUAAUCCUGGAGUAGGUAUCAUCAUUCCAACAGAAGGAGAAUUAGAAUGUCGCUGAUUGUAGUUAUUCAAAUGUCUGCCUUUUAUUAGGCUCGUAAUCCUAGACUCAAGGGUUGACCGGUUCACGUAAUCCUCCUGUUAGUAUAAGUCGAAAAGAAAAAUCUUAAGGAAUGACAUGAGUCAACAAGCUGGAUGUAGAGGCAGAAAUAUUUUGAGAUACCUUUGAGACGGCCAUCUUAAACAGCCCCUCCUCUAAGCGUCUAGCAACAUCCAUAUACUUUGCCUUUGAUGCAGCAUCGGCCUGUGAUGGUUGCCGCUGCUGUAACAUGUUAAACCUGUACAAAUCAAUAGAAAAGUUAUUAUUCAUCAGCGAGCACAUACUUGUGGAGAGAAAAUAAAAGGAUAAAUCUAUGAAUAAAAAUUGCUUUUCUGUAAAUUUUUGAAGUCAAUAAAAUCGCACACCUGGCCAACCCACUGACGAAGACUAAGAAUAUGUUCUCUCACUUGGUCGGGAGUGAACAUUUCAGUUAAAGAAACACCCUUUAUCUUUGGUUUUCCAGGUUUUGAUGCAACAACGUCAGCAGACUCCACCACAACUUCUUCCUUCGGCUCUUUCUCCAUUUUAACGUUUUCUUGCUUUAGCGAGGCACCAGAUAAAUCAUGUUGACCUGGUUCACUGACAGGCCUAGGUUUGGGAACAUUUUCAACAGCUUCAUGUUUUAUCUCCUUGAUGCUGAAUCCUGCUUGAACAGAAACAUCAGGAAUCUCUUCUUUCACUUCCAACUUCUCUGACUUCAAUGCCGCAUGUGCGUCGCUCUGCAUAUGAUCCUUUCUUUCAGCAUUCUGAGAUGGUUCUGUCUCUGCUUUGGGAACAAUGGAGCUUUUACAAACUUCACUCUCACGGACCACUGGUUCAAAAGAAGGCUCCACCUUCAACCGUUUUGAUGAAGGUUCCAAAUUAUCUACAGUAUCAGUACAUCCAGGGGCACCAGAAACGGCUCCAUCAGUAGCGCAUGGUGAAUCAUUUGAUACUACAGCUCCGUUCACUACACUGCUUUCGCUUUUUAAACGGGCCUGGACACGCGCAUUAGCUUGCUGCUGAUGGUAGGUCUUAACUGGUACACAGACGGGGCACCGAGGAUCCUUGCAGUUUUUAUAGUGGCCAAUCAACGACUUCGUGGGGCGACAACGAGGAUACAAACACUGAGGCUCUACACAGCUGUUCAUGUGACUCAGUAGCUUCUGAACAGUAACGCAGUUUCGUCCCGGGCACUUCACUCCUGGCCGUUUGCAGGUCCGUGCAUGAAGCAGAAACAAGAGCCAUCUCUGUUGAUUUUGGAACUUGACAUCGCGAUUUCCAUAUCUACAUGCCGUUCCAGUUGCAUUUUGCAGACUGUGGGAUUCGGAUGCGGUGGAAGUAUGAAUUUGACCAAUAACAGACCCUUCCAUCAAAUUAUUAGGUUGAGCUUCAUCCGUACCGGUAACUCUUUCACGAAAAUCCUCCUGAACGUUCUGUUCACUCGACAUACCAUUAGACAUUUGAGUGUUUCCCUGAGACUGGGAAGGCCACUGAUCCUGUGGAUUGGAUUCUAAUUUUACUCCAACAGCAAGGUUGCUAAAACUGUGGACUGUAUCAGAGCCCGGGUGCAUCAUUUGCUGAACCUGUUGGCUAUUUUGAGGAAGGAGCGUGCAUAUAUCACUCUGACUUGUAACUGCUACAUGUUGAGCGUUUGCAGAGCGGUCUGCUCCUGGGUUCUGAUAUUGAUUCUGGAACUGAGAAAGCUGGAGUCGUUCAGAUGCUUGGGAGUGCAAAGGUUCACUAUGGCUCUGCACUCCAGGUUCAUGUUGAACAUUCGUAACAACGUCAGAAGCCACCUGAGGUUUCCCGGAACCAUCUUUGCUUAUUAACUUAUGUUGCUGCAGGGCCUGCUGCUUCAAUGUUUUUUGCUGGAUAAAUUU
RNAcentral lists this long non-coding RNA (3133 nucleotides) under Brassica napus (rape). Its description in RNAcentral is "long non-coding RNA (BNAP_LNC022217)". The record is from RNAcentral. Lineage: Eukaryota; Viridiplantae; Streptophyta; Magnoliopsida; Brassicales; Brassicaceae.